RNAcentral lists this ribosomal RNA (468 nucleotides) under uncultured bacterium. Its description in RNAcentral is "partial 16S ribosomal RNA". It matches the Rfam family "Bacterial small subunit ribosomal RNA", at positions 28 to 507 of the family's 1533-position model. The record is from RNAcentral.
GACGAACGCUGGCGGCGUGCCUAACACAUGCAAGUCGAACGGAAAGGCCCUGCUUUUGUGGGGUGCUCGAGUGGCGAACGGGUGAGUAACACGUGAGUAACCUGUCACUGACUUUGGGAUAACUUCAGGAAACUGGGGCUCAUACCGGAUAGGAGCUAUUGCCGCUUGGUGGGGGUUGGAAAGAUUCGGCGGUUGGGGAUGGACUCGCGGCUUAUCAGCUUGUUGGUGGGGUAGUGGCUUACCAAGGCUUUGACGGGUAGCCGGCCUGAGAGGGUGACCGGCCACAGUGGGACUGAGAUACGGCCCAGACUCCUACGGGAGGCAGCGGUGGAGAAGAUUGCACAAUGGGCGGAAGCCUGAUGCAGCAACGCCGCGUGCGGGAUAACGGCCUUCGGGUUGUAAACCGCUUUCGCCUGUGACGAGGCGUUAGUGACGGUAAUGGGUAAAGAAGCACCGGCUAACUACGUG